Molecule: ribosomal RNA, 580 nt
Filed under: uncultured bacterium
Lineage: Bacteria
Description: bacterial SSU rRNA
Rfam family: Bacterial small subunit ribosomal RNA
Source: RNAcentral
GGCGGCGUGCCUAACACAUGCAAGUCGAACGAGAAAGUGGAGCAAUCCAUGAGUAAAGUGGCGACCGGGUGAGUAACACGUGACUAACCUGCCCUAGAGUGGGGGAUAACCUCGGGAAACCGGGGCUAAUACCGCAUAACAUCACGAGGGGAAGAUCCUUGUGAUCAAAGGAGCAAUUCGCUCAAGGAGGGGGUCGCGGCUGAUUAGUUAGUUGGUGAGGUAACGGCUCACCAAGACUUAGAUCAGUAGCCGGCCUGAGAGGGCGCACGGCCACACUGGAACUGAAACACGGUCCAGACUCCUACGGGAGGCAGCAGUGGGGAAUUUUGCGCAAUGGGGGAAACCCUGACGCAGCAACGCCGCGUGGAGGAUGAAGUCCCUUGGGAUGUAAACUCCUUUCGAUCGGGACGAUUAUGACGGUACCGGAAGAAGAAGCACCGGCUAACUCUGUGCCAGCAGCCGCGGUAAUACAGAGGGUGCAAGCGUUGUUCGGAAUUAUUGGGCGUAAAGGGCGCGUANGCGGUGCGGUAAGACUGUGGUGAAAUCUCCGGGCUCAACUCGGAAAUUGGCGCGGUGACUG